This 1180-nucleotide long non-coding RNA is filed under the name Homo sapiens (human). Its description in RNAcentral is "HSALNT0257649". Lineage: Eukaryota; Metazoa; Chordata; Mammalia; Primates; Hominidae. The record is from RNAcentral.
AUGAAAAAAAACCCGUUUCCAACGAAGGACCCUAAGAGGUCAAUAUAUCCACUUGCAGACUUUACAAACAGAGUGUUUCCAAACUGCUGAAUGAAAAGAAAAGUUAAACUCUCUGAGUUGAAAGCACACAUCACACAGCAGUUUCUGAGAAUGAUUCUGUCUAGUUUUUAUACGAAGAUAUUUCCUUUUCUGCCUUUGGCCUCAAAGCGCUUUAAAUCUCCACUUGCAAACCCCACAAAAAGAGUGUUUCAAAUCUGCUCUGUCUAAGGGAAGGUUCAACUCUGUCAGUUGAAUACACACAACAAAAGGAAGUUACUGAGAAUUCUUCUGUCUAGUGUAAUAUGAAGAAAUCCCGUUUCCAACGAAGGCCUCAAAGAGGUCCGAAUAUCCACUUGCAGACUUGACAAACAGAGUGUUUCCAAACUGCUGAAUGAAAAGACAAGUUAAGCUCAGUGAGUUGAACGCACACAUCACAGAACCGGUUCUGAGAAUGAUUCUGUCUAGUUUUUUGCGAAAAUAUUUCCUUUUGUGCCUUUGGAAUCAAAGCGCUUGAAAUCUCCACUUGCAAAUCCCUCAGAAAGAGUGUUUCCGAUGUGCUCUGUCUAAAGGAAGGUUGAACUCUGUGAGUUGCAUACACACAACACAAAGAAGUUACUGAGAAUUCUUCUUUCUAGCAUAAUAUGAAGAAAUCCCGUUUCCAACGAAGGCCUCAAAGAGGUCUGAAUAUCCAAUUGCAGAUUUUACAAACAGAGUGUUUCCUAACUGCUCUAUGAAAAGGAAGGUUAAACUCUGUGAGUUGAACGCACACAUCACAAAGCAGUUUCUGAGAAUCAUUCUGUCUAGUUUUUAUACGAAGAUAUUUCCUUUUCUACCACUGACCUCAAAGCGGCUGAAAUCUCCACUUACAAAUUCCACAAAAAGAGUGUCUCAAAUCUGCUCUGUGUAAAGAACCGUUCAACUCUGUGAGUUGAAUACACACAACACAAGGAAGUUACUGAGAAUUCUUCUGUCUAGCAUAAUAUAAAGAAAUCCCGUUUCCAACGAAGGCCUCAAAGAGGUCUGAAUAUCCACUUGUAGACUUUACAAACAGAGUGUUUCCUAACUGCUCUAUGAAAAGAAAGUUGAAACUCUGUGAGUUGAACGCACACAUCACAAAGCAGUUUCUGAAAAUCAUUCUGUC